Molecule: ribosomal RNA, 400 nt
Filed under: uncultured bacterium
Lineage: Bacteria
Description: bacterial SSU rRNA
Rfam family: Bacterial small subunit ribosomal RNA
Source: RNAcentral
GGGGGAUAUUGCACAAUGGAGGAAACUCUGAUGCAGCAACGCCGCGUGAGGGAAGAAGGUCUUCGGAUUGUAAACCUUUGUCCUUGGUGACGAUAAUGACGGUAGCCAAGGAGGAAGCUCCGGCUAACUACGUGCCAGCAGCCGCGGUAAUACGUAGGGAGCGAGCGUUGUCCGGAUUUACUGGGUGUAAAGGGUGCGUAGGCGGCUUUGCAAGUCAGGUGUGAAAACUAUCGGCUUAACUGAUAGACUGCAUUUGAAACUGUGGAGCUUGAGUGAAGAAGAGGCAGACGGAAUUCCCGGUGUAGCGGUGAAAUGCGUAGAGAUCGGGAGGAACACCAGUGGCGAAGGCGGUCUGCUGGGCUUUAACUGACGCUGAGGCACGAAAGCAUGGGUAGCAAAC